RNAcentral lists this ribosomal RNA (306 nucleotides) under Triticum aestivum (bread wheat). RNAcentral describes it as "partial small subunit ribosomal RNA". The record is from RNAcentral. Lineage: Eukaryota; Viridiplantae; Streptophyta; Magnoliopsida; Poales; Poaceae.
CCGGUGGCCGGGGCCGACUUGCGCGCCGCCUUGGUGGCCAGCUGCUUCCGCGGCGCCUUGCCGCCGGUGGACUUGCGCGCCGUCUGCUUCGUGCGGGCCAUCGGAGCUGGUGGGGGGAGGAGUCUAGGGUUUGGAUGCUUCGCCGGUGGGGGAUUUGAGCUGUGGUGUGGUCUGGUGGGUGAGGCGCGGGGAUUAAAUAGGGGCGAGGCGUGGGCGGGGGUCGGGAAAAUUUUGGGGGCAGAAGGCGCGGGCUGGAGGAAGGAGACGAAGUUUGGGGCGUCGGAUUGGUGGGAGAUGGACGGCUAG